UGGUGUGACUCCUCGUGUAGAGGCAUAGA
This 29-nucleotide non-coding RNA is filed under the name Rattus norvegicus (Norway rat). The record is from RNAcentral. Lineage: Eukaryota; Metazoa; Chordata; Mammalia; Rodentia; Muridae.